AUUGAACGCUGGCGGCAGGCCUAACACAUGCAAGUCGGACGGUAGCACAGAGGAGCUUGCUCCUCGGGUGACGAGUGGCGGACGGGUGAGUAAUGUCUGGGGAUCUGCCCGAUAGAGGGGGAUAACCACUGGAAACGGUGGCUAAUACCGCAUAACGUCGCAAGACCAAAGAGGGGGACCUUCGGGCCUAUCACUAUCGGAUGAACCCAGAGGGGAUUAGCUAGUAGGCGGGGUAACGGCCCACCUAGGCGACGAUCCCUAGCUGGUCUGAGAGGAUGACCAGCCACACUGGAACUGAGAAACGGUCCAGACUCCUACGGGAGGCAGCAGUGGGGAAUAUUGCACAAUGGGCGCAAGCCUGAUGCAGCCAUGCCGCGUGUAUGAAGAAGGCCUUCGGGUUGUAAAGUACUUUCAGCGGGGAGGAAGGCGAUGUGGUUAAUAACCGCAUUGAUUGACGUUACCCGCAGAAGAAGCACCGGCUAACUCCGUGCCAGCAGCCGCGGUAA
RNAcentral lists this ribosomal RNA (506 nucleotides) under uncultured bacterium. RNAcentral's name for it is "partial 16S ribosomal RNA". It matches the Rfam family "Bacterial small subunit ribosomal RNA", at positions 29 to 523 of the family's 1533-position model. The record is from RNAcentral.